This 30-nucleotide non-coding RNA is filed under the name Rattus norvegicus (Norway rat). Lineage: Eukaryota; Metazoa; Chordata; Mammalia; Rodentia; Muridae. The record is from RNAcentral.
UUAAACUAGAGACAGUGUUUUUCCUUUGGU